RNAcentral lists this ribosomal RNA (436 nucleotides) under uncultured bacterium. RNAcentral describes it as "bacterial SSU rRNA". It matches the Rfam family "Bacterial small subunit ribosomal RNA", at positions 959 to 1392 of the family's 1533-position model. The record is from RNAcentral.
ACGCGAAGAACCUUACCAGGCCUUGACAUCCCGAUCGCGGGUCCCUGAAAGGGGACCUUUCAGUUCGGCUGGAUCGGUGACAGGUGCUGCAUGGCUGUCGUCAGCUCGUGUCGUGAGAUGUUGGGUUAAGUCCCGCAACGAGCGCAACCCUCGCCCUUAGUUGCCAUCAUUUAGUUGGGCACUCUAAGGGGACUGCCGGUGAUAAGCCGCGAGGAAGGUGGGGAUGACGUCAAGUCCUCAUGGCCCUUACGGCCUGGGCUACACACGUGCUACAAUGGCGGUGACAAUGGGCAGCAAACCCGCAAGGGGGAGCUAAUCUCAAAAAGCCGUCUCAGUUCGGAUUGGAGUCUGCAACUCGACUCCAUGAAGUUGGAAUCGCUAGUAAUCGUGGAUCAGCACGCCACGGUGAAUACGUUCCCGGGUCUUGUACACACCG